AUAGUGGAGGAAAGUAGUGGGUGUAAUAGUAGUUUUUAUUGUUAAAUACUCCCUCCGUCUCAAUUUAUAGGUCCAUUUUGGAAAAAAAAAAUUGUCCCAAAAUACUUGUCCCUCUCUUCUUUCAAUACAAAUUUAUCUACAUAUUAAUUGUGAUUUUUUUGAAACUCAACAUUAUUCUCAUUUCUCAAUGGACUAAAUCCCUAUAUUUAUUGUGAUUUUUUUGAAACUCAACUAUAUUCUCACUUAUCAAUGCACUAAUUAAUGAUACAUGAGAUAAGAUUCUAUCUAACCGACUUUUUUCUUAAUAUGCGUGUUUAUUCCAAAAUGGACCUAUAAAUUGAGACGGAGGGAGUAUGAGAUAGUGGGGGAAGAUAGUGGGUGUAAUGAUGAGAAAAACUUACUAUUUAUGGUAAUGUAAAGAAAUGAGAGGGACAUCCCAAAAUAGUAAUUGUAAACAAAUGAGAGGGAUAGAGGGAGUACUAUUUUAGGACAUCACAGAUCCCAAUUUAUAGAUGAAAUUUAUCGGAUUUCAUUUAAAUUUUAAUAUAGAUUAUUCCACCUAAAACAUCAAGAAGUUUAAACAAGCAUAUAUCGUUACUAUUGUAUUAUUUAGAUAUCGGUCAGAAGGCA
Molecule: long non-coding RNA, 630 nt
Filed under: Daucus carota (carrot)
Lineage: Eukaryota; Viridiplantae; Streptophyta; Magnoliopsida; Apiales; Apiaceae
Description: long non-coding RNA (DCAR_LNC004454)
Source: RNAcentral